RNAcentral lists this ribosomal RNA (429 nucleotides) under Gemmatimonadota bacterium. RNAcentral describes it as "Gemmatimonadetes bacterium partial 16S ribosomal RNA". It matches the Rfam family "Bacterial small subunit ribosomal RNA", at positions 355 to 776 of the family's 1533-position model. Lineage: Bacteria; Pseudomonadati; Gemmatimonadota. The record is from RNAcentral.
UAGGGAAUCUUCGGCAAUGGACGAAAGUCUGACCGAGCAACGCCGCGUGAGUGAAGAAGGUUUUCGGAUCGUAAAACUCUGUUGUUAGAGAAGAACAAGGACGUUAGUAACUGAACGUCCCCUGACGGUAUCUAACCAGAAAGCCACGGCUAACUACGUGCCAGCAGCCGCGGUAAUACGUAGGUGGCAAGCGUUGUCCGGAUUUAUUGGGCGUAAAGCGAGCGCAGGCGGUUUCUUAAGUCUGAUGUGAAAGCCCCCGGCUCAACCGGGGAGGGUCAUUGGAAACUGGGAGACUUGAGUGCAGAAGAGGAGAGUGGAAUUCCAUGUGUAGCGGGGAAAUGCGUAGAUAUAUGGAGGAACACCAGUGGCGAAGGCGGCUCUAUGGUCUGUAACUGACGAUGAGGCUCGAAAGCGUGGGGAGCAAACAGG